ACUCCUACGGGAGGCAGCAGUAGGGAAUCUUCCACAAUGGGCGAAAGCCUGAUGGAGCAACGCCGCGUGGGUGAAGAAGGUCUUCGGAUCGUAAAACCCUGUUGUUAGAGAAGAAAGUGCGUGAGAGUAACUGUUCACGUUUCGACGGUAUCUAACCAGAAAGCCACGGCUAACUACGUGCCAGCAGCCGCGGUAAUACGUAGGUGGCAAGCGUUAUCCGGAUUUAUUGGGGCGUAAAGGGAACGCAGGCGGUCAUUUAAGUCUGAUGUGAAAGCCUUCGGCUUAACCGGAGUAGUGCAUUGGAAACUGGGAGACUUGAGUGCAGAAGAGGAGAGUGGAACUCCAUGUGUAGCGGUGAAAUGCGUAGAUAUAUGGAAGAACACCAGUGGCGAAAGCGGCUCUCUGGUCUGUAACUGACGCUGAGGUUCGAAAGCGUGGGUAGCAAACAGGAUUAGAUACCCUGGUAGGAUAGCG
This 474-nucleotide ribosomal RNA is filed under the name uncultured bacterium. Its description in RNAcentral is "bacterial SSU rRNA". It matches the Rfam family "Bacterial small subunit ribosomal RNA", at positions 335 to 799 of the family's 1533-position model. The record is from RNAcentral.